RNAcentral lists this ribosomal RNA (936 nucleotides) under Pseudomonas aeruginosa. RNAcentral describes it as "bacterial SSU rRNA". It matches the Rfam family "Bacterial small subunit ribosomal RNA", at positions 87 to 1023 of the family's 1533-position model. The record is from RNAcentral. Lineage: Bacteria; Pseudomonadati; Pseudomonadota; Gammaproteobacteria; Pseudomonadales; Pseudomonadaceae.
GGGGGGGUUGAGCAUGAGAUUCUGCGGCGGACGGGUGAGUAAUGCCUAGAGAAUCUGCCUGGUAGUGGGGGAUAACGUCCGGAAACGGGCGCUAAUACCGCAUACGUCCUGAGGGAGAAAGUGGGGGAUCUUCGGACCUCACGCUAUCAGAUGAGCCUAGGUCGGAUUAGCUAGUUGGUGGGGUAAAGGCCUACCAAGGCGACGAUCCGUAACUGGUCUGAGAGGAUGAUCAGUCACACUGGAACUGAGACACGGUCCAGACUCCUACGGGAGGCAGCAGUGGGGAAUAUUGGACAAUGGGCGAAAGCCUGAUCCAGCCAUGCCGCGUGUGUGAAGAAGGUCUUCGGAUUGUAAAGCACUUUAAGUUGGGAGGAAGGGCAGUAAGUUAAUACCUUGCUGUUUUGACGUUACCAACAGAAUAAGCACCGGCUAACUUCGUGCCAGCAGCCGCGGUAAUACGAAGGGUGCAAGCGUUAAUCGGAAUUACUGGGCGUAAAGCGCGCGUAGGUGGUUCAGCAAGUUGGAUGUGAAAUCCCCGGGCUCAACCUGGGAACUGCAUCCAAAACUACUGAGCUAGAGUACGGUAGAGGGUGGUGGAAUUUCCUGUGUAGCGGUGAAAUGCGUAGAUAUAGGAAGGAACACCAGUGGCGAAGGCGACCACCUGGACUGAUACUGACACUGAGGUGCGAAAGCGUGGGGAGCAAACAGGAUUAGAUACCCUGGUAGUCCACGCCGUAAACGAUGUCGACUAGCCGUUGGGAUUCUUGAGAUCUUAGUGGCAGCUAACGCGAUAAGUCGACGCUGGGGAGUACGGCGCAGGUUAAAACUCAAAUGAAUUGACGGGGGCCGCAAAGNGGUGGAGCAUGUGGUUUAAUUCGAGCAACGCGAAAUUAUGGUUGACAUGUGAAACUUCAGAGAUGAUGUGCUUCGGGACUC